GAUGAAGAACGUAGCGAAAUGCGAUAAGUAAUGUGAAUUGCAGAAUUCAGUGAAUCAUCGAAUCUUUGAACGCACCUUGCGCCCGCCAGUAUUCUGGCGGGCAUGCCUGUCCGAGCGUCAUUUCAACCCUCGAACCCCUCCGGGGGGUCGGCGUUGGGGAUCGGCCCUUUACGGGGCCGGCCCCGAAAUACAGUGGCGGUCUCGCCGCAGCCUCUCCUGCGCAGUAGUUUGCACACUCGCAUCGGGAGCGCGGCGCGUCCACAGCCGUUAAACACCCCAAACUUCUGAAAUGUUGACCUCGGAUCAGGUAGGAAUACCCGCUGAACUUAAGCAUAUCAAUAAGCGGAGGA
RNAcentral lists this unclassified non-coding RNA (350 nucleotides) under soil metagenome. Its description in RNAcentral is "partial contains 5.8S ribosomal RNA, internal transcribed spacer 2, and large subunit ribosomal RNA". The stretch from base 1 to 120 matches the Rfam family "5.8S ribosomal RNA", at positions 35 to 154 of the family's 154-position model. The record is from RNAcentral.